UACGUAGGGUGCGAGCGUUGUCCGGAAUUAUUGGGCGUAAAGGGCGCGUAGGCGGCCACCGCAAGUCGACUGUGAAAUCUCCGGGCUUAACUCGGAAAGGUCAGCCGAUACUGCGGGGCUAGAGUGCAGAAGGGGCAACUGGAAUUCUCGGUGUAGCGGUGAAAUGCGUAGAUAUCGAGAGGAACACCUGCGGCGAAGGCGGGUUGCUGGGCUGACACUGACGCUGAGGCGCGAAAGCUAGGGGAGCGAACGGG
Molecule: ribosomal RNA, 254 nt
Filed under: uncultured bacterium
Lineage: Bacteria
Description: partial 16S ribosomal RNA
Rfam family: Bacterial small subunit ribosomal RNA
Source: RNAcentral